UCUCUGCUGGUAUUGUCUCAGGUAUGUUUUAGCCUUGAUUUUUAGCCAGGAAAUACGUUGUAGCACAGCUUUUCAGACACCUGGACUAUCGCAGAGAAGAAGGAUAGAAUGCUGAGGCACUCAAAAUAUACUACCUGGCUUUUUCAUUGCCGAGUUAAAUGACACUGAUGUGCGGCAAGAUCAGCGAUCAGUAAUUGAAUCUAAUCUCUUAGCUAAAGGCAGUCCGUUAUGCAGUGGAGAGCUGGGAGGAACUGAGUUGGCACUCCAGAAAAGUCCUUGUGUCCUCACUGCCUCUGUUUGGGGACAUCUGGAAGCCUGAGGAAAGAUUCAGGAUCUUUUUGCGUGCAUGGCAGCAUGCUGCAGGAGUGCUGGGGAAGACAAGACCAGAGGUCACAAGGAGCAGGAGUAGAAACUUCACAGCACGUCACCUGCAUGCUGCCAAGCAUUUUUAGGUGUCGGGGAAAGGUCUUCAGGUGAGAACAAGGGCAGCAAAUCCCAACGGGAAGGGAAAAGCUGCAUCAUUUGCAUUCCCAAAACUGUGAGCGUGGGUUCUGCCAGCACAGCGAGGAGCUGGUGGGGAAGAGGCAGCAGGGCUGAAGGGAGAACGACUUCAAACAGCAGUUUUGCAGAUGCCAACUUUAGCGUGCAGGGCAUACUGGACAAUCCAGUGCUGGAAACAAACUGCUGUUGAAUCUGCAGCUUGCACAGAUAACGCUGCUUAAUCUCGUGCUGCCUCCUCGCCAAGCAACCCACAGUUUUCAUGCUUCAAAACCAGGGAGGAAUCCACUCAGUCUCUCUUUCACGUAUUUACACUCACAAACUGCAGCGAGCAGACUGAGCGCCCUGGCCGAGACCAUCUUAUCUCCUGUGCUCCCAGCUGCCGUGCGAGGGCAGUGUUAGCUCGCUGUGCUGGGUGCCCAUGGGCUGGGGAUCGCUCCCCAUCCCAGGGUGGCUGCUGGGCAGGGGCUGCCUGGGCUUGUCAGGUACUGGAAGUGAAGUGAUGCUGCAGUGGGAUGUGAAGACCAUAAAAAUGGUUGGUUUGUUGGUUUUCUUGUUGGUUUUUUUGUUGUUGUUGUUUUUUUGUUUUUUCCCUGCUGGAGAUUGAAAUUGAACAUGUCUGAUUGUCUGUGUGAGCCCUCCUGCAGCCUCAUUGCUGUGCUGAUGGAAACCAGGCUCCGGUUUUCCGCUCCUCAGCAGAAAGGGCAGCACAGAGGACUGGGGAAAAAUGCAAAAUACGUUUAAUGGUUUUGUGCUUUAGAGAUGUGAUUGAGCAGAGCACGUUGAGGGUGGAGGAAGAGCCUCAGGGCUUGUGUUUGCUCUUUUUUUUUCUUAUUUUUUUAAUUUAUUUCCUUGUAUCCAAUAAGAGGUGACUGUGCAGCUCUGCCAACACUCAAUCUCACUUUGCCAAGUGAGAUCUCUUAUCCUUGCAAGCAGCACUGGCUUCUUUCCUAAGUACCUCAAAGCCCCCUAAUAUGCUUUUACUUAAUUGUUUUUUGAAUAUUUUCCAGGAUCUGCUUCCUCAGCAGAGAGCACCAAGGUGGAAGCACAGCUGCCCAUGCAGGGGAAAGCAGUGACUGCAAGGCAGGGUGGUCAGGACCUGAAUUUCUCAUGCAAAAGAACAAACAGGCAGAAAAAAAGGGAACUUGACAAGUAAAGAUGCUUGCUGUGGAGAAUGCUUACUGACCCCACCCCGAGCACUGCUCUUAGAGGACAGCUCCACUGCCCUGUGUGCCCGUGUGGCUCUUGCUGGAGGCUGCAGCAGUGCUGAGCUGAGUUCCAGCCUGCUGAUGGUACCCACAGGCACCCCAUACAUCUCCCUAUGCUGUGCCACUGCAUCGGUGCCGCUCCCCUUCCCACACUGUG
This is a non-coding RNA of Meleagris gallopavo (turkey), 1863 nucleotides long. NCBI's taxonomy places the organism in Eukaryota, Metazoa, Chordata, Aves, Galliformes, Phasianidae. The record is from RefSeq and is a predicted model, not a curated record.